GAUGAACGCUGGCUGCGUGCCUAAUACAUGCAAGUCGCGCGGACGCACGAGGGUCUUUCGUCUCUGAUGUUAGCGACGGACGGGUGAGUAACACGUGGAUAACCUACCUAUAAUUCUGGGAGAACUUCGGGGAACCGGAGCUGAUACCUGCUAAUAGUUUUAACCUCAUGGUUCACGAUUGAAAGACGGUCUUGCUGUCACUUAUAGAUGGAUCCGCGCUGCUUUAGCUAGUGGGGAAGGUAACGGCUUACCAAGGCAACGAUGCAUAGCCGACCUGAGAGGGUGAGAGGCCCCCCUAGACCUGAGACACGGUCCAGACUCCUACGGGACGCAGCAGUAGGGAAUCUUACACUAUGGGCGAAAGGCUGACGGAGACCAGCCGCGUGAGGGAUGAAGGUCCUCGGAUCGUAAAACUAUGCUAUUAGGGAAGAACAUAUGUGUAAGCAACGGGGCACCUCUUGCAGGUACCUAAUGAGAAAGCCACGGCUAACUACGUG
This 497-nucleotide ribosomal RNA is filed under the name uncultured bacterium. RNAcentral describes it as "partial 16S ribosomal RNA". It matches the Rfam family "Bacterial small subunit ribosomal RNA", at positions 28 to 507 of the family's 1533-position model. The record is from RNAcentral.